This 494-nucleotide ribosomal RNA is filed under the name uncultured bacterium. RNAcentral's name for it is "partial 16S ribosomal RNA". It matches the Rfam family "Bacterial small subunit ribosomal RNA", at positions 28 to 507 of the family's 1533-position model. The record is from RNAcentral.
GACGAACGCUGGCGGCGUGCUUAACACAUGCGAGUCGAACGGUGAAGCGCCUUCCUUUUUGGUGGGUGUGGAUGAGUGGCGAACGGGUGAGUAACACGUGAGUAACCUGCCCCCUUCUUCUGGAUAACCGCAUGAAAGUGUGGCUAAUACGGGAUAUUCUGGGUCUGUCGCAUGAUGGGUCUGGGAAAGAUAUUGUUUCGGUGGGGGAUGGGCUCGCGGCCUAUCAGCUUGUUGGUGGGGUGAUGGCCUACCAAGGCGGUGACGGGUAGCCGGCCUGAGCGGAUGGACGGUCACGCUGGGACUGAGACACAGCCCAGACUCCUAAGAGAGGCAGCAGUGGGGAAUAUUGCACAAUGAGCGAAAGCCUGAUGCAGCGACGCCGCGUGAGGGAUGGAGGCCUUCGGGUUGUAAACCUCUUUCGCCAGUGAAGCAGGCCUGCCUCGUUUGUGGGUGGGUUGACGGUAGCUGGAUAAGAAGCGCCGGCUAACUACGUG